GAUCUCAAAUCAGGCGGGACUACCCGCCGAACUUAA
RNAcentral lists this ribosomal RNA (36 nucleotides) under Albatrellus aff. subrubescens. Its description in RNAcentral is "partial 28S ribosomal RNA". Lineage: Eukaryota; Fungi; Basidiomycota; Agaricomycetes; Russulales; Albatrellaceae. The record is from RNAcentral.